Molecule: ribosomal RNA, 771 nt
Filed under: uncultured bacterium
Lineage: Bacteria
Description: bacterial SSU rRNA
Rfam family: Bacterial small subunit ribosomal RNA
Source: RNAcentral
AAAGAGCUCGUAGGUGGUUCGUCACGUCGGAUGUGAAACUCUGGGGCUUAACCCCAGACCUGCAUUCGAUACGGGCGAGCUUGAGUAUGGUAGGGGAGUCUGGAAUUCCUGGUGUAGCGGUGGAAUGCGCAGAUAUCAGGAGGAACACCAAUGGCGAAGGCAGGACUCUGGGCCAUUACUGACACUGAGGAGCGAAAGCGUGGGGAGCGAACAGGAUUAGAUACCCUGGUAGUCCACGCCGUAAACGAUGGAUACUAGCUGUUGGGAGCAAUCUCAGUGGCUAAGCGAAAGUGAUAAGUAUCCCACCUGGGGAGUACGUUCGCGAGAAUGAUACUCAAAGGAAUCGACGGGGGCCCGCACAAGCGGUGGAGCAUGUGGUCUAAUUCGAUGAUACGCGAGGAACCUUACCAAGGCUUAAAUGUAGUUUGACCGAUUUGGAAACAGAUCUUUCGCAAGACAAAUUACAAGGUGCUGCAUGGUUGUCGUCAGCUCGUGCCGUGAGGUGUCAGGUUAAGUCCUAUAACGAGCGCAACCCCUGUUGUUAGUUGCCAGCGAGUCAAGUCGGGAACUCUAACAAGACUGCCAGUGCAAACUGUGAGGAAGGUGGGGAUGACGUCAAAUCAUCACGGCCCUUACGCCUUGGGCUACACACGUGCUACAAUGGACGGUACAGAGAGCAGCCACUGGGUGACCAGGAGCGAAUCUACAAAACCGUUCUCAGUUCGGAUCGGAGUCUGCAACUCGACUCCGUGAAGCUGGAAUCGCUAGUAA